GACCUCGGAUCAGGUAGGGAUACCA
This 25-nucleotide ribosomal RNA is filed under the name Arthroderma multifidum. Its description in RNAcentral is "partial 28S ribosomal RNA". The record is from RNAcentral. Lineage: Eukaryota; Fungi; Ascomycota; Eurotiomycetes; Onygenales; Arthrodermataceae.